This 460-nucleotide ribosomal RNA is filed under the name uncultured bacterium. RNAcentral's name for it is "partial 16S ribosomal RNA". It matches the Rfam family "Bacterial small subunit ribosomal RNA", at positions 338 to 795 of the family's 1533-position model. The record is from RNAcentral.
CCUACGGGAGGCAGCAGUGAGGAAUAUUGGUCAAUGGACGAGAGUCUGAACCAGCCAAGUAGCGUGAAGGAUGACUGCCCUAUGGGUUGUAAACUUCUUUUAUAUGGGAAUAAAAUGUUCCACGUGUGGGAUUUUGUAUGUACCAUAUGAAUAAGGAUCGGCUAACUCCGUGCCAGCAGCCGCGGUAAUACGGAGGAUCCGAGCGUUAUCCGGAUUUAUUGGGUUUAAAGGGAGCGUAGGUGGAUUGUUAAGUCAGUUGUGAAAGUUUGCGGCUCAACCGUAAAAUUGCAGUUGAAACUGGCAGUCUUGAGUACAGUAGAGGUGGGCGGAAUUCGUGGUGUAGCGGUGAAAUGCUUAGAUAUCACGAAGAACUCCGAUUGCGAAGGCAGUUCACUAAACUGCCACUGACAUUGAUGCUCGAAAGUGUGGGUAUCAAACAGGAUUAGAUACCCCAGUAGUC